RNAcentral lists this ribosomal RNA (868 nucleotides) under Septoriella oudemansii. RNAcentral describes it as "LSU rRNA". It matches the Rfam family "Eukaryotic large subunit ribosomal RNA", at positions 36 to 922 of the family's 3401-position model. The record is from RNAcentral. Lineage: Eukaryota; Fungi; Ascomycota; Dothideomycetes; Pleosporales; Phaeosphaeriaceae.
CAGCAUAUCCGAUAGCGGAGGAAAAGAAACCAACAGGGAUUGCCCUAGUAACGGCGAGUGAAGCGGCAACAGCUCAAAUUUGAAAUCUGGCUCUUUUAGGGUCCGAGUUGUAAUUUGCAGAGGGCGCUUUGGCGUUGGCAGCGGUCCAAGUUCUUUGGAACAGGACGUCACAGAGGGUGAGAAUCCCGUACGUGGUCGCUAGCCUUCGCCGUGUAAAGCCCCUUCGACGAGUCGAGUUGUUUGGGAAUGCAGCUCUAAAUGGGAGGUAAAUUUCUUCUAAAGCUAAAUACUGGCCAGAGACCGAUAGCGCACAAGUAGAGUGAUCGAAAGAUGAAAAGCACUUUGGAAAGAGAGUCAAAUAGCACGUGAAAUUGUUGAAAGGGAAGCGCUUGCAGCCAGACUUGCCUGUAGUUGCUUAUCCGGACUUUUGUCCGGUGCACUCUUCUGCGGGCAGGCCAGCAUCAGUUUAGGCGGUUGGAUAAAGGUCUCUAUCACGUACCUCCCUUCGGGGUUGGCCUUAUAGGGGAGACGACAUGCAACCAGCUUGAACUGAGGUCCGCGCAUCUGCUAGGAUGCUGGCGUAAUGGCUGUAAGCGGCCCGUCUUGAAACACGGACCAAGGAGUCUAACAUCUAUGCGAGUGUUUGGGUGUCAAGCCCAGACGCGUAAUGAAAGUGAACGGAGGUGGGAACCUUUUAGGUGCACCAUCGACCGAUCCUGAUGUCUUCGGAUGGAUUUGAGUAAGAGCAUGGCUGUUGGGACCCGAAAGAUGGUGAACUAUGCUUGAAUAGGGUGAAGCCAGAGGAAACUCUGGUGGAGGCUCGCAGCGGUUCUGACGUGCAAAUCGAUCGUCAAAUUUGGGCAUAGGG